Molecule: long non-coding RNA, 726 nt
Organism: Ailuropoda melanoleuca (giant panda)
Lineage: Eukaryota; Metazoa; Chordata; Mammalia; Carnivora; Ursidae
Exons: 4
Source: RefSeq, a predicted model, not a curated record
UUCCCUUCCCUUCCCUUCCCUUCCCUUCCCUUCCCUUCCCAGAGCCACCUCCUCAGCCCACCAUCCCCAUCAUGGGCAUCAUUGCUGGCCUGGUUCUCCUUGUGGUCACUGGAGCUGUGGUGGCUGGAGCUACGAUGUGGAGGAAGAAGCACGCAGGUGGAAAAGGAGGGAGCUACUCACAGGCUGAAAGCAGUGACAGUGCCUAGGGCUCUGAGGUGUCUCCCAAGACUCAUAAAGUGUGAGCCAGCUGCCUUGUAGGGGACUGAGUGAUGCAAGAUUUGUUUACACUCUCACUUUUUUGACAUCAAGAGCCCCAGACAUCUCUAUCUGCUAAAGGUGUCAGAAUAUGUAUAUGUUCCUAUUAGCAUAAUAUGAGGAGGUGGGGAGACUGGUCCAACCUUACCCUACGUGAUACCCUCCAUGACGCCUUCCCAAACGAAUCUGUGUUCUCUUCCCUGACAUGCUUUCCUGUUCCAGCAUGGGGAUGACUGGGUCAUCCCCAUCCCUGUGUUUACUUCAUGUUUGCCCGAGAAGUAAUAUUUUACUUCUCUAUUGAAAAUCUGGAUAUGAAUUUGUUUUUUCUAUUCUUGUCAUAUAGGACUGGUGUGGUAAUAAAGGAGAAGACUCCUAAAGUUGAGAUAGGAAAUCAAUGGAAGCACUGAGAACCUUCCAGAAUCUGCCAAAUUGCUGUACAGUCUGUUGUAGGUAGAACAGGAGAGGCUGUGA